UCACCUGCUUUCUGCCUUGAUGUUGCUGGGAGCUGUAGACCGGAGCUGUUCAUGUUCGGCCAUCUUGCCAGCCACCUGUUUCUUGUUCUUGAAGUUCAUUGAGAUUCUUCAAUCUCAAACAUUCAGGAUCGACAGAAUGAUCAAAGGAGACUGCAUCAAAUUGGAUUCCUAUGGUGGAGGGGGGACCCCAGCUGUAACAGCUUUUCCAGUUCUCUCUCCCAUCCAGAACCAUGAGAGGCACGCCAUUCGAGGGGAGGUAUGCAAUCUGAUGCUCCUCAGACAGGUCAAAAUUCUCAAAGUCUAUAGGAUUAAAAAGUCUAUAGGAUUAAAAGGGGAGCAUUUUUCUACUUUUGGAUAGGUGUCAUCGAGGCAGGAAUAAAGGUGGUUUUAGCUUUAACAGUCUUCUCAGUCAUAAGGCCCAGACCCCAGCUUCAGCCCAUCCUUAGGAGCCACACAGGUGCCUGGUUCUCUGUUUUCCUUAUCAAUAAGGAUCAGAGUAGUUAUUCUGGAUUACUCCAAGACUCUCCUUCCACCAUUAUUAAAAAUAGUUUUUUCUGUUUUCCUCUACGCCUUUUGCAGGAACUCCAAUUAUAUUUGUAUUAGGCUGCUUGAUUGUCCUACAGCUCCCUGACGCCCUGUUCAUUUAUUUUCAGUCUUUUUUCUCUCUGUAUUUCAUUUUGCAUAGUUUCUCUUGCUAAGUUUUUGAGAUCAUUUAUCUUUUCUUCUGAAUUAAUAUACCAGUAAUCCCAUUCAGUAUAUUUUUUAUCUCAGACAUUGCUUCAUUUUGUGUCUCUAGAAGUUUGAUUUGGGUCUUUUCUACAAAUCUUCCAUGUCUCAUUCAACAUGCUCAGUCAUUCCUCUGCCUUCUUGAGCUUAUGGAAUAUAGUUAAAAUAGUUGUUUUAAUAUCCUUGUGGGUUAAGCCUAACAUCAAUGUCAGUUGUGGGUCAGUUUUGAUUGAGUGGUUAAUUGAUUGUUAUUAUGGGUCCUAUUUUCCUGCUACUUGCAUGCCUGUCAAUUUUUUAUUAGAUGCCAGUCUUUAUGAAUUUUACUCUGAAGGGUGCUGGAUAUUUCUGUAUUCCUGUAAAUAAUUCUUGAACUUUGUUUUGUGACACAGUUAAAUUCUUUGGGGACAGUUUGAUCCUUUCAGGGCUUGCUUUGGAGGGACCAGAGCAGCUGUUAGUCUGGGGCUAAUUCUUCCCCAUGACCAAGACAAUGCCAUCCUGAGUGUUCUAGCCAGUCCCAAGGUUUUUCGCUGUUCCUUUGUAUUCCAUUCGGAUGAUUCUUUUCUCAGCCUAGGGUCCUCUUUGCGUGUGUGCUGUUGCCGUAGAUCUCCGAGUUCCCUCGCCUCCCUCUCUCAGUAGCUCUCUCUAGCACUCUGCCCUGUGAGCUCCAGCUGGCUCAGAGGCCUCUGUCUCAAUUUGUGCUCCCCUUUCUUGUGCUGUGGUCUGGAAACUCUCUAGGUAAUAAGCUCAGUCAGUUGUAGGGCUACCUCAUUUGUUUCCUGUCUCUCAGGGACCGGUGUCCAGUGUCUAAAAACUGUUGUGUCAUGUAUUCUGCCCAGUCUUUGGCUGUUUCAGCUAGGGGGGUAAAUAUGGUCUCUAUUGAAUCAUCUUGGCUGAGGUAAAUCUGAAUUAAAAAAAAAAAUUUCUCAUCACAGAAACAAUACAUUUUUAGUCUAGAAAGUUGACAGGGGAAGGGAGGUAGA
RNAcentral lists this long non-coding RNA (1706 nucleotides) under Homo sapiens (human). Its description in RNAcentral is "HSALNT0377813". The record is from RNAcentral. Lineage: Eukaryota; Metazoa; Chordata; Mammalia; Primates; Hominidae.